This 462-nucleotide ribosomal RNA is filed under the name Helcococcus sueciensis. RNAcentral's name for it is "bacterial SSU rRNA". It matches the Rfam family "Bacterial small subunit ribosomal RNA", at positions 46 to 506 of the family's 1533-position model. The record is from RNAcentral. Lineage: Bacteria; Bacillati; Bacillota; Tissierellia; Tissierellales; Peptoniphilaceae.
GCUUAACACAUGCAAGUUGAACGUGAUUUUAUAGACAGAUUUCUUCGGRAUGACGAUUAUAAAUGAAAGUAGCGAACGGGUGAGUAACACGUGAGAAACCUGCCUUUCACAAAGGGAUAGCCUCGGGAAACCGGGAUUAAUACCUUAUGAUACAUAGAAAUCGCAUGAUAGCUAUGUUAAAGAUUUUAUCGGUGAAAGAUGGUCUCGCGUCUGAUUAGCUAGUUGGUGGGGUAAAGGCCUACCAAGGCGAUGAUCAGUAGCCGGAUUGAGAGGUUGAACGGCCACACUGGAACUGAGACACGGUCCAGACUCCUACGGGAGGCAGCAGUGGGGAAUUUUGCACAAUGGGGGAAACCCUGAUGCAGCGACGCCGCGUGUACGAUGAAGAUCUUCGGAUUGUAAAGUACUGUCCUUGGUGAAGAUAAUGACUGUAACCAAGAAGCAAGCCCUGGCUAAAUACGU